Long non-coding RNA from Equus quagga, 1327 nucleotides. RefSeq lists it as uncharacterized. The record is from RefSeq and is a predicted model, not a curated record. The transcript has 4 exons. Lineage: Eukaryota; Metazoa; Chordata; Mammalia; Perissodactyla; Equidae.
CGACUAGGAAGCGUCUCCCUGCAGCAGCGCUGAGUGGCCGGGAUCCACAGGCCAGACGCUGGGAGGGUGACCUCCUUCUGAAGUUAGCCCCAGGUGCUCUCGUGGUUGUUUUCUGGGUCAUCCUUGGGAUCUGGUGUCCAGGCCUUCAGCAAAAUUCAGCAGACGUUCCUCAGUGCUCUGGCUCGUCUUUUCGCCAUGCACACAGACACCCCUGGGAACAUGGGACAGGAGCUGGGGCCUCUUGUUCAUGCUCUGGUUACAGCGCCCAGCGGCGUACGCCGGCCCCUCGAAAAUGGUCUGUGGAAAAUCAAAAUCUUGUGAGCUGGAAGCUUUACCUUCUGAGGUUGCACUGUCUGAUACAGUGUAUGAGACCUCUGUGGCUGUGAGAACUUGAAAUAUGGCACCAGAGGUGUGAUGGGAGAUUAGCUGAACAGAGAGAAGACUCAGCAAGCACAUCACCUUGAAGUUGACCUGUCAGCCAGAUUUCACAUCACCUGGCUGUUCCAGCCUGAGGGGCUGCGAUUCAUUCCUUGGGACAGAGAGCCGCAAAUUCUGCCUUUAGGCCACAGUUCAAGUCCUUGCCACUCUCUCCCAGGCUUUGAAGGACACAAGAGAGACAACUCUAAGGCAGGGGAAUUCUUCCCAGGGAAGCUUUUCCACUCGAAUUAGCUUUUAUGACACCUUCAAGCCAUCUCUAAGAAUCUGGUCUUUUGACAUGUGCGAAUAUUCACAUCUCUAUAUAUAAACAUUAAAAUCUGCAUCAGAAUCUACAUGCUUGUUGAGCCUCCUGGAGACUGGGUCCUGAGUGGUAUGCUCCCCUUCCCAAGCCCUCUGGAGCAGGGACCCCUGGAUUGGAGGCAGUGGGAAGAAUCCUGGUGAAUCAGGUGUUCCUGUCCAUUUGCAUAAACUGAGCACCCUGCCUGCCAACCCCACACGCUGAGUACUGCUGGGAAGAAGCGAAGAAACAUUUAUCAAAGGGCAGGAAAAAUUAGGGCCUUUUCAUUAAGAUCAGAAGAUUUUUGAGGUUGGAUCAGCUGCCCAGGUGCAUGACCAAGUUUCUUGGCUCCUUGGAAGCAGGAAAGUAUUUGAAAAAUAAUAGAGUCCUUAGUCCUGUAAGUAAAGACCCAUUUAUCUCGGGAAUUAAAAAAAAAGUGCUGGGGAUGGGAAUUUUCCGAUGAGAUGCAUUACUUCUCACCUGAGUGUCUUGAAUGCCUGCUGGAUUUGUCUCCCUGCUAAGAUACUCACACUUGCAAAUGUGUGCUUUUCAAGGUGAGGAGAUGAAAAUAAAAAAGUCUGUGAGGCGUGUGUCUGGGAGGGACGAAAAUGG